AAAAAAGAAACUCCUUUAUAUUUGAACUAGAUUGGGUAGGUUUCUGUUCCUUGCAGCCCAAUGAGCCUGACCCUACUUGUUACCGUGGCAAGUCUCUGCCCCCUGUCUGGGCCUCAGUUUGACUACACCACCGUCUCUAAGAUCUUCUCCAGAUCAAUGUUCUCUUUGAACAUCAUGCAGAGUGAAUGGGUUUUAGGUUGUUGGCAACUGAGUUCAGUAUUAGUUACAGAGUGUCCAUGUUAUCCUGGCUCCCAAAAUAACUUGGUGGCUGGUUAAAGAGCCUGUGGGAGGAUCCAACACACACCUGGCUUUGAACCUGAGCCCUGCUGAUAGAGUCUGCCUCCCCUGUCCAUUGCAUCCUUUGUUGGAUCACAAAGGGACUGAGGAACCAGGGCUGGUGUUUCUCCAGUAUCUUUUGGCUGCUGAAUGCCCUACCUACCCCCUUAACACUUUCCUGGACCCACUUCAGCAUUUCAGAGGAUCCCAGUGCCAGAGCACCUGGUGGAAGGUAUGACAGGAAAUAUUGAAAACCAUCGGUCUAUCCCUCCAUCAGCACCUCUGAAAGAGAGGAAGCAGAGCCCAUGAUUUCAUUUCCAGGAUCCACGUGUUUUCAGGAAGCUGACUCCAUCAGGGUAGAGGAGGGCUGAGCCAGUCAAUCCCACUGACUAGAAUGACUGGUUCAGGUGGGUCAUAUGAACUCACCAGUCCAAUCAGAGAGGAUCUCAGGAUUUUUGCUGAGAAGGCUGGCACACAGCCUGUCUCUUCCUUGCUAACCACGAAUGAGGAAGUAUGCAGGCCCUGGGAGCUGUUGGCAGUCAUCUUGGGACAAUAAGAGGAGCAGAAACCAGGAAGAAAGAGUAGCCCUGAGGACUAGGAGGUUAAUUUGGGGCAACAUGGAAGCCAUAUGCUGUAGUCACUGCUUAGGAAGCUCUGGCAUGGUGAAUCAGGUUCAUGCCCCUUACGAUGCCUAUUGUUGAUCACAAAGCAAGACCAAUUUACAAGCAUCAAGGAAAACUCUGGAAGAGAAAGAAAGUUCUAGAUAUCAGCCACUUUUCCCAUAGUCACAUCCUGGAUCAAUGGCUUUUAAAUAUUUUUUAGUGUGCCCUCAAUAAAAAAUAAAUUUUAUAGUGUGACACUACAGUGUGACGUAGCUGUAUACAUAACUGAAACAAAAGUUUCACCAUAAUUUUCAUAGUAUUUACCCUUGCUAUGUGCAAUUACAGUUAUGCGCUGCAUAACAACAUUAUGGGCAAUGAGAGACUGCAUACACGAUGGUGGUCCCACAAGAUUAGUCCCAUAUAGCCUAGGUGUGUAGUAGACUAUAUCAUUUAGGUUUGUUUAAG
Molecule: long non-coding RNA, 1343 nt
Filed under: Equus caballus (horse)
Lineage: Eukaryota; Metazoa; Chordata; Mammalia; Perissodactyla; Equidae
Description: lncRNA (ENSECAG00000054545.1)
Source: RNAcentral